CUAUCUCUUGUUGCAACGUGGUUUAUAAAUGUAUCACAAAGAUAUUAACUAACGAGUUGAAGGGUAUUCUGUCAAAUUUCAUCUCUCCUAUCCAAAGUGCUUUUGUGGAUGGUAGGAGGAUUGGUCAUAACAUCUUCCUUGCUCAUGAACUGGUCAAGGGCUAUUCGCGGGAUAGUAUCUCUUCCAGGUGCGCUAUAAAAGCUGAUAUAAUGAAAGCUUUUGAUUCGUUAAUGGAAGUAUGCAGGGAUAUAUCGAAGGUUCGAAGGGUCUCAUACAAGGGGAUCAUCUUUCCCCUUAUCUUUUUGUAAUGGCUAUUGAGGUCCUCUCGAAAAUGCUUGAUUCUGCAGCUCAAGAAGGAAAGAUUGCAGAUCAUCCCCUUUGCAGUAAGAUACAUCUUACUCAUCUUGGUUUUGCAUAUGACCUUGUAAUUUUCUUGAAGGGAGAUGUAGACUCUUUGAAAGUUGUUAUGAAUAUCUUUGACUCCUUUUAUGAGAUUUCUAGCCUGAAGCUUAACCCAAGCAAAUCAGAAUUAUUUUGUGCCGGCAUGGAUGAAGUUAAGGUGCAGGAAAUAUCGUCCAUUAAUGGCUUCAAAAGAGGGACUUUUCCAGUUAAAUACUUGGGAGUUCCUUUGAUAUCAGGCAGACUGAGUGAUAAAGAUUGCAGACCAUUUAUGGAGAAGAUCGCUAGUAGAAUCGAGAGCUGGGCUACACAAAAGCUCUCUUAUGCUGGUACGCUCUUUGGUUAAUUUUUGGUGUAAUACUUUUGUUUUGCCAAAGGUGUUGAGAGCAGUAGAGCAAAAGUGUAAAUGUUUUCUUUGGAAGGAAAAAAAAAAAAAACUGUAAUGCGAGAGGAGCUAAAGUUGCAAGGGAAGUAGUUUGUCUUCCAAAGAAAGAAGGGGGAUUAGGAGUUAAGGAUUUGGAAACCUGGAAUUAUGCUAGUAAUUUAAGACUCAUAUGGCUCCUAUUCCAAAAAGCUGGAUCAUCAUGGAUUGCUUGGGUUAGGGCUUACUUAAUAAAAGGCAAGAGCUUUUGGGAUCUUCAAAUGCUGAAAUACUGUUCUUACCCUUGGAGGAAGAUUCUAUAAUUGAGGAAGAAAGCCUACCCCUUAAUUCAGCAUAUUAUUAGGCAUGGCAAGAGCAAAUAUUUUUGGUUUGACAACUGGAAUUAUUCCAGUCCUCUCUUGAGUUCUACUGAGGGUGCUAGAUAUGGUAUUGUUAAGUUCUGAAUUGUUGCUGCUGCACUUACAAAUUUUAGGGGGCUGAAUAGACAGUGCAGGGACCAAAGAAAGCAAAAAAUAAGAGAUUUACUGCUGUGCACCAAUCUUACCGAUGGUGCAGAUGAAGUGAAGUGGGUUGUGAUUGUGAAUAGGAAGGGUGUGUAUACUAUAUCAAGCACUCGGGAAGCUUCAAGGAAGAUGAACUCAAAUAUUGGGGUGGUACAAGCUAGUUUGGUUCCAUCCAUGUAGUCCUAGACAUUGUUUUAUUAGUUGGUUAGCAAUUCAAAAUAAGCUUUCCACUCUUGAGAAAGUUGCCACAUGGGGGUAUUGGUGUUGAUACAACUUAUUGUAUUUUCUGUCAUGAAGAAACUGAGACAAGAGACCAUAUAUUCCUUUCUUACUCAUUCACUAAGGAUGUUUAGAGGAAGGUGUUGCAUAUGACAGGUCAUGGCAGAGAUGUAGGUAGCUGUAAUCAAGAGUUUUCUCGGGCAAUCAAUACUUUUAAAUUAAGGAAAAUCUAUUCGGGUUACUACUUUGAAAAUUGCCUGGCAUGCCUAUUUCUACUUUGCUUGGAGAUCUCUGAACCAGGUUCUACAUGAAGGAACCCCAUGAAGGCAUAUGGCAAGCUAUAAAGACUGGGGUCGGCUCUUGGGGAUUAAAAUCUUCAAGCAAGAGUUAAAGACUCCACUCCAGAGGCAGCUCAUUGUCAAUUAUGAGCCACGAGGACUGUCAAGUCGGGGCUCGAACUAGCGUGGAAUCUGGGCUUCCGCGGGCUCAUGCUCGAGGCGGACUUUGAGGUAAUAGCUCAUAACUCGAUCGAUGCAUUGACGGACAUGGGCAGGACUACCACUUGCCGAGAGGGUAAUGCUUGUACAGAUUGGCCGGUGUCCCAUGUUAAAUUCACGUCCCCUAGAAAAAAGGAAACAGCUUAAUUAUAAUCGAACAUGCAAGUGAACAUGAAAAGUUCAACGAUAAAUCUCUAUUUUUUUACUAGGCCCAUCAUCCUCUUUGAUAAUAGUUCAAUAACGACGGAAGUACCAUAUCCCCAAGCAAUAAAAAAAUAUGCAAGCCCCUUUGAAUCAUCGCUUAGAAAAUUGAUAGACGUUGUGCUUCUUGAUCGUAUGCAUUUUUCUUUUUUAAGCUCAAUUUGCACAUGUUAUAAUAAUUCUUCAGUUGAAAUCAAA
Punica granatum (pomegranate) is the source of this 2399-nucleotide non-coding RNA. Lineage: Eukaryota; Viridiplantae; Streptophyta; Magnoliopsida; Myrtales; Lythraceae. The record is from RefSeq and is a predicted model, not a curated record.